This is a non-coding RNA of Amazona aestiva (blue-fronted amazon), 45 nucleotides long. The record is from Rfam. Lineage: Eukaryota; Metazoa; Chordata; Aves; Psittaciformes; Psittacidae.
CAAACGGCUCUUUUAAGAGCCCCCACUCUUUUUUAAAAAGAGCUG